GCUGCACCAGCUGUAUUUGCUUCACAAAACACAGGUGGUGAUCAUGUAUAUUGGGACUCUAGAGCUUCUCCAGAAGACAUGAUUGAGAUGUGGAAUAACCAUGAUGUUGCUAGAGAGUGGAUGAAAUCUGGAGAAAAACGNNNNNNNNUACGCUUUUCACAUGACAAGGACAAGAGACCGUAUCUUUCCCGGGUAGAAGUGAAGGCAGUUGCGGAAACAAUUCUUUCAAAGCACUUUAGUACAAGGGGAGUUAAAUCAUCAGUCCUUUGUGCCCUUGCGGAAAUGGUUAGUAUGCGUUU
This 299-nucleotide unclassified non-coding RNA is filed under the name Hevea brasiliensis (rubber tree). The record is from RNAcentral. Lineage: Eukaryota; Viridiplantae; Streptophyta; Magnoliopsida; Malpighiales; Euphorbiaceae.